RNAcentral lists this ribosomal RNA (142 nucleotides) under Apicomplexa sp. RNAcentral describes it as "partial small subunit ribosomal RNA". It matches the Rfam family "Eukaryotic small subunit ribosomal RNA", at positions 1297 to 1460 of the family's 1831-position model. Lineage: Eukaryota; Apicomplexa. The record is from RNAcentral.
GUUGGUGGAGUGAUUUGUCUGGUUAAUUCCGUUAACGAACGAGACUUUGACCUGCUAAAUAGACACCGUAGGGUUUCCUAUGGCUGCGCUUCUUAGAGGGACUUUACGUGCUUAACGUAAGGAAGUUCAAAGCAAUAACAGG